GACGAACGCUGGCGGCGUGCUUAACACAUGCAAGUCGAACGGAAAGGCCCUGCUUUUGUGGGGUGCUCGAGUGGCGAACGGGUGAGUAACACGUGAGUAACCUGCCCUUGACUUUGGGAUAACUUCAGGAAACUGGGGCUAAUACCGGAUAGGAGCUCCUGCUGCAUGGUGGGGGUUGGAAAGUUUCGUCGGUUGGGGAUGGACUCGCGGCUUAUCAGCUUGUUGGUGGGGUAGUGGCUUACCAAGGCUUUGACGGGUAGCCGGCCUGAGCGGGUGACCGGCCACCUUGGGAGUGGGAUACGGCCCAACCCCCCACGGGGGGCAGGAGCGGGGAGCAUUGAUCAACGGGCGGAAGCCAGAUCCAGCAUGGAGGCGUGCGGGAUGAGGGCUUUCGGGUUGGAACUCGCUUUCGCGUGUGAGGAAGCGUGAGUGACUGUAAUGGUGAAAGAAGCACCGGUUAACUACGU
This 467-nucleotide ribosomal RNA is filed under the name uncultured bacterium. RNAcentral's name for it is "partial 16S ribosomal RNA". It matches the Rfam family "Bacterial small subunit ribosomal RNA", at positions 28 to 506 of the family's 1533-position model. The record is from RNAcentral.